GGGUGAUACCUCAGUGGUAGAGCAUCUGCUUUUCAUGCAGAAUGUCCUAGUUUCAAUCUGUGACAUCUCCA
Molecule: non-coding RNA, 71 nt
Organism: Podarcis lilfordi (Lilford's wall lizard)
Lineage: Eukaryota; Metazoa; Chordata; Lepidosauria; Squamata; Lacertidae
Source: the annotation of a GenBank genome assembly